GACGAACCGUGCGAACGUUAUUCGGAAUCACUGGGCUUAAAGGGUGCGUAGGCGGGCCCCCAAGUCAGGGGUGAAAUCCCACGGCUCAACCGUGGAAGUGCCUCUGAUACUGGUGGCCUCGAGGGGUGCAGGGGCGUGCGGAACUCAGGGUGGAACGGUGAAAUGUGUAGAUAUCCUGAGGAACACCGGUGGCGAAAGCGGCGCGCUAGACACCUUCUGACGCUGAGGCACGAAAGCCAGGGGAGCAAACGGG
RNAcentral lists this ribosomal RNA (253 nucleotides) under uncultured bacterium. RNAcentral describes it as "partial 16S ribosomal RNA". It matches the Rfam family "Bacterial small subunit ribosomal RNA", at positions 524 to 776 of the family's 1533-position model. The record is from RNAcentral.